Molecule: ribosomal RNA, 465 nt
Filed under: uncultured bacterium
Lineage: Bacteria
Description: partial 16S ribosomal RNA
Rfam family: Bacterial small subunit ribosomal RNA
Source: RNAcentral
CCUACGGGAGGCAGCAGUAGGGAAUCUUCCACCAUGGGCGAAAGCCUGAUGGAGCAACGCCGCGUGGGUGAAGAAGGUCUUCGGAUCGUAAAACCCUGUUGUUAGAGAAGAAAGUUCGUGAGAGUAACUGUUCACGUUUCGACGGUAUCUAACCAGAAAGCCACGGCUAACUACGUGCCAGCAGCCGCGGUAAUACGUAGGUGGCAAGCGUUAUCCGGAUUUAUUGGGCGUAAAGGGAACGCAGGCGGUCUUUUAAGUCUGAUGUGAAAGCCGUCGGCUUAACCGGAGUAGUGCAUUGGAAACUGGGAGACUGGAGGGCAGAAGAGGAGAGUGGAACUCCAGGUGUAGCGGUGAAAUGCGUAGAUAUAUGGAAGAACACCAGUGGCGAAAGCGGCUCUCUGGUCUGUAACUGACGCUGAGGUUCGAAAGCGUGGGUAGCAAACAGGAUUAGAUACCCCUGUAGUC